This 415-nucleotide unclassified non-coding RNA is filed under the name Hevea brasiliensis (rubber tree). Lineage: Eukaryota; Viridiplantae; Streptophyta; Magnoliopsida; Malpighiales; Euphorbiaceae. The record is from RNAcentral.
AUGAAAGCUAUCAAAAUUGAAAAGAAAGAAAGGUUGGAGAGGGUACAGCUAAAGAGAUGACAAAGGGAAAGACAAAAGGUUCAUGAGAGGAGAGAUACUUUAAUAUAGGUCUUUUUCUCACCAGAUAAAAAUCAUUAAUGACAGUGUGGAUUACCAAAAUAGCUAUGAAAAUUGCGUAAAAGAGAAGUUGUUAUUGCAAAUAUGCCCCUCCUGUUGAAGAUCUUUUGGGGUUUUGUGAUUCAAUUUGCACUCAAACCCAACAAAAAUAAUGGGUGGAUGGUGCAGCAGCUGCAAAUGCAAGCAUGGGCAAGGCUCAAAACAGAACAAAGAAAAUAAAAGGGACAAAAGGAAUUUGACUUCAUUGUUCAAGUUGGUAAAGAUGCAUAAUUUGUGAUGCCAAUGUUAUCAUCAGGUG